This 484-nucleotide ribosomal RNA is filed under the name uncultured bacterium. Its description in RNAcentral is "partial 16S ribosomal RNA". It matches the Rfam family "Bacterial small subunit ribosomal RNA", at positions 29 to 507 of the family's 1533-position model. The record is from RNAcentral.
AUUGAACGCUGGCGGCAUGCUUUACACAUGCAAGUCGAACGGCAGCGCGGGCUUCGGCCUGGCGGCGAGUGGCGAACGGGUGAGUAAUGCAUCGGAACGUGCCCAGUAGUGGGGGAUAGCACGGCGAAAGCCGGAUUAAUACCGCAUACGACCUGAGGGUGAAAGCGGGGGACCGAAAGGCCUCGCGCUAUUGGAGCGGCCCAUGUCGGAUUAGCUAGUUGGUGGGGUAAAGGCUUACCAAGGCGACGAUCCGUAGCUGGUCUGAGAGGACGACCAGCCACACUGGGACUGAGACACGGCCCAGACUCCUACGGGAGGCAGCAGUGGGGAAUUUUGGACAAUGGGGGCAACCCUGAUCCAGCCAUGCCGCGUGCGGGAAGAAGGCCUUCGGGUUGUAAACCGCUUUUGUUCGGGAAGAAAUCCUCUGGGCUAAUACCCCGGGGGGAUGACGGUACCGGAAGAAUAAGCACCGGCUAACUACGUG